Molecule: long non-coding RNA, 672 nt
Organism: Dreissena polymorpha
Lineage: Eukaryota; Metazoa; Mollusca; Bivalvia; Myida; Dreissenidae
Exons: 3
Source: RefSeq, a predicted model, not a curated record
UCCAAGUGGUAUACACACUGUUUUUUCUCAAUAUCAAACUCAGCCAGUCCAGGUUGUCAAAUAACAAUCUAUCUGAUAAGCCAAGCAUGUGUUGUACAUCAGAUGUUGGGUAUGUUUGCUGCAAAUCUAUUGGUUAUAAGAUAUAACAGCCUUUUCUAAUUGGCUGAAUUCAAAUACAGAAAGUUUACCUGUUAGAUUGAAACAUGAAACAUGGUGGACAAUGUACUGGUUUAACUUGUUAAAAUAAAGUUAAAGACAUUUAACAAACAGAAGAGUUCAUUAGUUUUUCCAUUAAAAACACUUUCUUAAAAUACUUAUGUAUUUAUAUCAUUUGGAAAGUGACAUGAAAUAUUGCUAAAGAGUGAUGCAUACAGUGUUUGAGCAGUCUGUCUAGGAAUAGAACAACAACUGAAGUUGAUGGAAGAUACUGCAGAGUUUGGCAGGGAAAUAAUCCAACAGCAAAGCGGCUCUUUAAGCGCAUUUACCUAGAGGACUUACAGGGCCACAAAUUCAUGAGCACAUGUGAGCAGUAUACAAUGUACCUCAUACCAAAAAACGACCCGGAGGCAGUGACUGGUGUUCAAUAUUCUCAGAAGAAAAGGAAAAUGGCAGUGGGAGACUUGGACAAACAUUUUUAAAAACUAGCCUCUGUGUUAAGCCUGGCAGUCUGUG